Molecule: ribosomal RNA, 460 nt
Filed under: uncultured bacterium
Lineage: Bacteria
Description: partial 16S ribosomal RNA
Rfam family: Bacterial small subunit ribosomal RNA
Source: RNAcentral
CCUACGGGAGGCAGCAGUGAGGAAUAUUGGUCAAUGGACGAGAGUCUGAACCAGCCAAGUAGCGUGAAGGAUGACUGCCCUAUGGGUUGUAAACUUCUUUUAUAUGGGAAUAAAAUGUUCCACGUGUGGGAUUUUGUAUGUACCAUAUGAAUAAGGAUCGGCUAACUCCGUGCCAGCAGCCGCGGUAAUACGGAGGAUCCGAGCGUUAUCCGGAUUUAUUGGGUUUAAAGGGAGCGUAGGUGGAUUGUUAAGUCAGUUGUGAAAGUUUGCGGCUCAAGCGUAAAAUUGCAGUUGAAACUGGCAGUCUUGAGUACAGUAGAGGUGGGCGGAAUUCGUGGUGUAGCGGUGAAAUGCUUAGAUAUCACGAAGAAGUCCGAUUGCGAAGGCAGUUCACUGGACUGCAACUGACACUGAGGCUCGAAAGUGUGGGUAUCAAACAGGAUUAGAUACCCCUGUAGUC